CAACUACUCCCACCGUCCCAAAAUUCUUGUUUUAGAUUUGUCUAGAUACAGAUGUAUCUAAUACUAAAAUGUGACUUGAUACAUCUGUAUCUAGACAAAUCUAAGACAAGAACUUUGGGACGGAGGGAGUACUUU
Molecule: non-coding RNA, 135 nt
Organism: Triticum aestivum (bread wheat)
Lineage: Eukaryota; Viridiplantae; Streptophyta; Magnoliopsida; Poales; Poaceae
Source: Rfam